Long non-coding RNA from Asparagus officinalis (garden asparagus), 108 nucleotides. RefSeq lists it as uncharacterized. The record is from RefSeq and is a predicted model, not a curated record. The transcript has 2 exons. Lineage: Eukaryota; Viridiplantae; Streptophyta; Magnoliopsida; Asparagales; Asparagaceae.
UAACAUUUACAUUCAUCAAUUCACAUCCAACAAUAUUAACAUUUAACAAUUCACAUAUAUACAUAAUCAGGAGGUCAUAAUAUGUUCAACACAAUCCAAAAGUCCACA